ACUGAUGGAUCUGGCAACAGUUAGCACCAAGUUGAUCUUUAUAGACAAAUGCAAGAAAAUGAUGCCCAUAUAAUCAAAUCAACAGCCAAUUGUGACUUUCUGUGGUGUUAAAGAGCAACUUAAUGAUAAGUGUUUCCCAAACUUUGUUUCAUACAUAAAAGUGAAAAUGUAUGACUGCGCUUAAUUAUCUUGAGUUCCAUUUCAUCAAAAGCUUUGAUUUGCAUAACUGCUGAGAAAAUCCAGCACAUUACUGCAAGUUAAAUGAGAGAGAAUGGCAGGAGGACAAGCAGAAGCAGACCAGGAGAAUACUGAUGAUUGAAAACAAACAAACAAACCAAAAGUACAUAAUU
Long non-coding RNA from Thalassophryne amazonica, 350 nucleotides. RefSeq lists it as uncharacterized. The record is from RefSeq and is a predicted model, not a curated record. NCBI's taxonomy places the organism in Eukaryota, Metazoa, Chordata, Actinopteri, Batrachoidiformes, Batrachoididae. The transcript is spliced from 2 exons.